This 1963-nucleotide long non-coding RNA is filed under the name Salmo salar (Atlantic salmon). RNAcentral's name for it is "lncRNA (ENSSSAG00000096000.1)". Lineage: Eukaryota; Metazoa; Chordata; Actinopteri; Salmoniformes; Salmonidae. The record is from RNAcentral.
UUAUGUUUCCUUUUAUUUUAUUUAUUGAGGACAUAAUAUGGACUGUUUAGCUUGACAUUUACACAUCAGUCCAUUAGCUUACACCAUUUGAGGUGAGUCAUGCUCUGUCACGAGAUCUAGUGAUGAUGUUAAAUACAGAUGGAGGUUUCAGGUUUGUAAAUUACAUCGUUGCUUUGUUACGCUCUAGUCAUAAAGUGGAACAUUUCUUUCAAGGUUUACCACACUACCACACUCCAUCCCACCAAAAUUAAACACAUUUAGUCAGAUUGUUUUCUCCAAAUGCUUAAUGCUGAUCUAUAACUCAUGGAGUUGUCACUGACCAUGUUACCUGACCAGUAAAAGGAUUUACCAAACUGAGUUUACUGGUCAGGUGAUGUGGCCAGGAAAAGGUUUUACCAAACUGAGUUUACUGGUCAGGUGAUGUGGUCAGGAAAAGGUUUUACCAAACUGAGUUUACUGGUCAGGUGAUGUGGUCAGGGAAAGGUUUUACCAAACUGAGUUUACUGGUCAGGUGAUGUGGUCAGGGAAAGGUUUUACCAAACUGAGUUUACUGGUCAGGUGAUGUGGUCAGGAAAAGAUUUUACCAAACUGAGUUUACUGGUCAGGUGAUGUGGUCAGGAAAAGGGUUUUACCAGGCUGAGUUUCCUGGUCAGGUGAUGUGGUCAGGAAAAGGGUUUUACCAGGCUGAGUUUACUGGUCAGGUGAUGUGGUCAGGAAAAGGUUUUAUCAAACUGAGUUUACUGGUCAGGUGAUGUGGUCAGGAAAAGGUUUUACCAAACUGAGUUUACUGGUCAGGUGAUGUGGUCAGGAAAAGGUUUUACCAAACUGAGUUUACUGGUCAGGUGAUGUGGUCAGGAAAAGGUUUUACCAAACUGAGUUUACUGGUCAGGUGAUGUGGUCAGGAAAAGGGUUUUACCAGGCUGAGUUUCCUGGUCAGGUGAUGUGGUAAGGAAAAGGGUUUACCAGGCUGAAUUUACUGCCUACUAGGCACAGAUGUCAAUUCAAUGUCUAUUCCACGUUGGUUCAACUUAAUUUCAUUGAAAUCACGUGGAAACAGUGUUGAUUCAACCAAUGGGUGGGUGGUCAGGUGACUUGGUAAAGAAAAAUGGUUUACCAGACUGAGUUUACUGGUGAGGUGAUCUGGUUAACAAGACUGGGUUUCCUGGUCAGGUGAUGUGGUCAGGAAAAACUCAUGGCCUUACUUAUGGGCAAUAGCAGUAGGACAUUAAAUGUUGCCAUGAUUCAUGACAUCCUCCAUUCAUGAUUCACAGGAAGGGACAAGUUAAUGAUCUGGGGCUUGUGGAGAGUUGAGUCUCUCUAUCGUGUUGAUUUGAGGGUGCUAAUGUUGAGGUGGAGGCCUACUCUGUUGAGCAGUGGUCUGAUAUGGCUCUUCAUUGGCGGUGUCUUCCCAUCCUCCCCCGUGUUGUGUGCGUCAAGCCCAUGGGACAGUAACAAGGUCCAUAUGUAGCCUCUUCCUCCGGCCUCCCCCCCAAACCUGAGGGGGGUAGUGUUAACAGGAUGACAGCCUAUUGAUUUACUCACAGAAAGAGAAGGGGGAAUGAAAGAGUGAGAGUGAGAGAGAGAGAGAGAGAGAGAGAGAAAGAAAGAAAGAAAGAAAGAAAGAAAGAAAGAAAGAAAGAAAGAAAGAAAGAAAGAAAGAAAGAAAGAAAGAAAGAAAGAAAGAAAGAAAGAAAGAAAGAAAGAAAGAAAGAAAGAAAGAAAGAGUAAUAGCUCAAAUAAUUUGAAGUAGAAUCCCCAAAACAUACGGUCAAGAAUCAAGACUAGUUUCUGGGUUGGAAGGUGCCUGUAACUACCACCAGAAACUACUAGAUGUGUGUUUAAUGUGACUUAAACUGCUAGUAAUUUUAGCUUGCUUAUUUUUUUAUGACUAUGUUUUUAUGACUGACACUUUUUAUGACUAACAUUUUCUUACCAGAAGCAUUUGAAGAAGUCAUCCUUUUCA